UAGGCGAUGAGUUUACAAAAUAAACUGACGAAGAUUCGAUUAAAUCCUUUUUGCGAAUAUUGGCCGCAAUUUCUAUUUUUAUUUUACUUAUGCAGUACGAUUUUGUCGCGUUAUUUUUUCGUAGUUUACUACUCAGUUGCAAUGUCUCAAAAUAUAAUCGUUUGCUGUUACCCACAACUCGAUUGGCGAAAAGUGCGGUCAGUUAUCACGCGAUAUAACAUUAAAAUAUAUCGCCAAAACAGUUUGUUCGCUAAACUAUAGAAACCGGGUCGAAACUUACUGCAACACUCGGUAUUAAAUAAUAUUAUAAUAUUACAAUUGUGCGAAAACAUUAAAGAAUAUUUUGGUUUUAAAAUUAAAUGUGUGUGUUUUGUUUUUCUGUACAUAGAAACAUUCUUGUCGAAUUGUCUGACCAGUAAAUGCGUCGCAAAGGAAAUAUGUUUUUAAUUCUUCCCUACACUCGUGUACACUACUUGUGGAAAAUCCGAAUGAAAAUAAAAACCGUUUCGGGAAAACUCGGGAACGUUCUAUUAGGUAACUUGUCGAUAAAAUCGAUUUCGUGUAUAUCAUUGUAAUUUGUCAAUAAAUAAUUUUGGACCUGAGCUUUGCAUCGAAUACUUUGGCGUUCUUUUAAAUUUUAACAACAGUUUUCAGCUAGCUUUGAAUUAUCUGUCGCUAUAUUUUUAAAUGUCCUUGGUUUUUUUUUUCUAUUUGUCUACAUGUACAACUUUUUCCAUGAACAUUCGACAACUUGACACAAGCUGUAUUAUUAUUACGAAGUUGUUCUCAGUCGUCCGAGAAAAAUGUCAGGACUUGUUGGGACUUAGCUUCCCGAAUGUUUGUAUAGAUCCCCGAUUGUUUGUAUAGCUUCACGUAUACAUUCUGUAAGAGGAGGUCACAGCAUAACAUAUUUUGCCGUCUUUGUCUUUUUUAACGGGCUACAUAGUACUUACGGGUGUGUGUGUUUUCGGAGUUCCGACGGUACUCUGAGGCACUCUUCUAUAAGCUUAAGACAAAAAUUAUUAUUUUACCGAGUGAAUGACGGCAAAAUUUACUGCGGUUCGCGGAGGGAUUUAUCGAUAUUUAAUUCCCUGACAAAAUAUU
Molecule: non-coding RNA, 1104 nt
Organism: Cinara cedri
Lineage: Eukaryota; Metazoa; Arthropoda; Insecta; Hemiptera; Aphididae
Source: the annotation of a GenBank genome assembly